This 85-nucleotide transfer RNA is filed under the name Felis catus (domestic cat). It matches the Rfam family "tRNA". Rfam says of the family: Transfer RNA (tRNA) molecules are approximately 80 nucleotides in length. Their secondary structure includes four short double-helical elements and three loops (D, anti-codon, and T loops). The record is from Rfam by way of RNAcentral. Lineage: Eukaryota; Metazoa; Chordata; Mammalia; Carnivora; Felidae.
GCCUGGGUGGCUCAGUCUGUUAAGCGUCUGACUUCGGCUCAGGUCAUGAUCUUGCAGUCCGUGGGUUCAAGCCCUGCAUCAGGCU